GCAAGGCUAAAACUCAAAUGAAUUGACGGGGGCCCGCACAAGCGGUGGAGCAUGUGGUUUAAUUCGAUGCAACGCGAAGAACCUUACCUACCCUUGACAUCCAGAGAAUCUGUUAGAGAUAAUUGAGUGCCUUCGGGAACUCUGAGACAGGUGCUGCAUGGCUGUCGUCAGCUCGUGUUGUGAAAUGUUGGGUUAAGUCCCGUAACGAGCGCAACCCUUAUCCUUAGUUGCCAGCACGUAAUGGUGGGAACUCUAGGGAGACUGCCGGUGAUAAACCGGAGGAAGGUGGGGACGACGUCAAGUCAUCAUGGCCCUUAUGGGUAGGGCUACACACGUGCUACAAUGGCCAGUACAGAGGGCUGCAAACUUGCGAGAGUAAGCAAAUCCCAGAAAGCUGGUCUUAGUCCGGAUUGGAGUCUGCAACUCGACUCCAUGAAGUUGGAAUCGCUAGUAAUCGCGAAUCAGAACGUCGCGGUGAAUACGUUCCCGGGCCUUGUACACACCGCCCGUCACACCAUGGGAGUGGGUUGCAAAAGAAGUGGGUAGACUAACCUUCGGGAGGUCGCUCACCACUUUGUGGUUCAUGACUGGGGUGAAGUCGUAACAAGGUA
RNAcentral lists this ribosomal RNA (611 nucleotides) under uncultured bacterium. RNAcentral describes it as "bacterial SSU rRNA". It matches the Rfam family "Bacterial small subunit ribosomal RNA", at positions 888 to 1498 of the family's 1533-position model. The record is from RNAcentral.